This 491-nucleotide ribosomal RNA is filed under the name uncultured bacterium. RNAcentral describes it as "partial 16S ribosomal RNA". It matches the Rfam family "Bacterial small subunit ribosomal RNA", at positions 28 to 507 of the family's 1533-position model. The record is from RNAcentral.
GAUGAACGCUAGCUACGGGCUUAACACAUGCAAGUCGAGGGGAAACGAUGAGAGAGCUUGCUCUCUUAGUCGUCGACCGGCGCACGGGUGAGUAACGCGUAUCCAACCUGCCUCUGACCAAGGGAUAACCCGUCGAAAGUCGGACUAAUACCUUAUGCAGUCGUCGGAAGUCAUCUGAUGACGACGAAAGAUUUCAUCGGUGAGAGAUGGGGAUGCGUCUGAUUAGCUUGUUGGCGGGGUAACGGCCCACCAAGGCGACGAUCAGUAGGGGUUCUGAGAGGAAGGUCCCCCACAUUGGAACUGAGACACGGUCCAAACUCCUACGGGAGGCAGCAGUGAGGAAUAUUGGUCAAUGGGCGUAAGCCUGAACCAGCCAAGUAGCGUGCAGGAUGACGGCCCUAUGGGUUGUAAACUGCUUUUAUGCGGGGAUAAAGUGAGGGACGUGUCCUUCAUUGCAGGUACCGCAUGAAUAAGGACCGGCUAAUUCCGUG